RNAcentral lists this small RNA (104 nucleotides) under Marmota monax (woodchuck). Lineage: Eukaryota; Metazoa; Chordata; Mammalia; Rodentia; Sciuridae. The record is from RNAcentral.
GCUGGGCAUGGUGACACAUGCCUGUAAUCCAGCAAAUUGGGAGGCUGAGGCAGGAGGAUGACGACUAAGGCCAGCCUCAGCAACUUAGUGAGACUCUGUCUCAA